Non-coding RNA from Myotis davidii, 74 nucleotides. Lineage: Eukaryota; Metazoa; Chordata; Mammalia; Chiroptera; Vespertilionidae. The record is from Rfam.
GCCCAUGUUGCUCAGUGGUUAAAGUGUUAGUCGGAACACCAAGGGGUUGUGGGUUCAAUUCCCGGUCAAGGGCA